GCCAGGUGCCAGGUGAGGCUCAGACAAGAAAAAGAGCCUGGAGUCCCUGGGACAAAGGCAGGGCUCCCUGGAAAGUACCGUGUGUAUUUUUCCUUCCUCUGGGACACAGCAGGCCUGGGGAUUUCUCCCUUACUCAAGCAGCAAGGAGAUGGCCUAGGAGUGUCCCUGGCACCCAGCCUGAACCCUACUGAGCCUCAGGCGUCCUCAUCCCUUUUCACCUCGGAGCUCAGCGUCUUCCUCAGCAGCACUUCCAUGUCAUCUGCCCCGUGAAAUCAGCCUAACGCCGUUUCUCAAUGACGUGGAUCGCCCUAGGCCACCGCA
RNAcentral lists this long non-coding RNA (321 nucleotides) under Homo sapiens (human). RNAcentral's name for it is "non-protein coding lnc-SYCE3-1:1". The record is from RNAcentral. Lineage: Eukaryota; Metazoa; Chordata; Mammalia; Primates; Hominidae.